CCUACGGGCGGCAGCAGUGAGGAAUAUUGGUCAAUGGGCUUACGCCUGAACCAGCCAAGUCGCGUGAGGGAAGACUGCCCUAUGGGUUGUAAACCUCUUUUGUCAGGGAGCAACGCCGGCUACGUGUAGCCGGACUGAGCGUACCUGAAGAAAAAGCAUCGGCUAACUCCGUGCCAGCAGCCGCGGUAAUACGUAGGGGGCAAGCGUUAUCCGGAUUUACUGGGUGUAAAGGGACAGUAGACGGAAAGGCAAGUCAGAAGUGAAAACCAAAGGCUCAACCAUGGGACUGCUUUUGAAACUGUCAAACUAGAGUACGGGAGAGGUAAGAGGAAUUCCUGGUGUAGCGGUGAAAUGCGUAGAUAUUAGGAGGAACACCAGUGGCGAAGGCGUCUUACUGGACCGAAACUGACGUUGAGGCUCGAAAGCGUGGGGAGCAAACAGGAUGAGAUACCCCAGUAGUC
RNAcentral lists this ribosomal RNA (461 nucleotides) under uncultured bacterium. RNAcentral describes it as "partial 16S ribosomal RNA". It matches the Rfam family "Bacterial small subunit ribosomal RNA", at positions 338 to 795 of the family's 1533-position model. The record is from RNAcentral.